Molecule: long non-coding RNA, 463 nt
Organism: Phragmites australis (common reed)
Lineage: Eukaryota; Viridiplantae; Streptophyta; Magnoliopsida; Poales; Poaceae
Exons: 3
Source: RefSeq, a predicted model, not a curated record
GCGAGUGGCAGCUACGGACUCCGCCGGUAGAAGCCAUUGAAGAUAAAUCUUUCAUGAGUUCAGCAAACUGCAUAGAGGCUAGGAAUUGCCCAAACACAUCAACAAUGUCCCUAUCCUGUACAACAUUCACUUGCAACAGCAAUGGAGAAAGUUCAGGUAUGAUUUCUCAGUUAAUUAUGAGGUAUGAACGAACUAUGUAAAUGUGUAUUGUAUUCUGAAAUCUCAGAGGAAAGCCAAAGCUCACUUUUGGCAAUGACAUCAAUGAGCUGAGUUUCAGAGUUUAGGGACCAAAUUAAUGGAGACACCGAUUGCUGACUACAUUGUUAGCCAGUUAUAGUGAGACCAAAGGAAGUGACACUAACAGUUUUAAUGGAGAUGGCAGUCUUUAAAAGAUCAGAGACUCAGAGUUGAGACAUUGCCCCUUUGAAUCAUGUUCGCUUUGCUGAAUGAGUUUGAUUUGUUG